RNAcentral lists this long non-coding RNA (4819 nucleotides) under Podarcis lilfordi (Lilford's wall lizard). The record is from RNAcentral. Lineage: Eukaryota; Metazoa; Chordata; Lepidosauria; Squamata; Lacertidae.
AAUGAAUUUCAUAUUGCCAAUCUUUUAAGGCUAAAUAGUAUAUCUGAGAGUUAUCCUGCACUAUUUGAUAAUCUUAGACACCUGCUUAACUUACUGGCAAAAGUAAUUAAUUGAAAGUUAGGUGAGCAAACCUUUUAUAUAAAAAUACAAAUAACUUUUCAUUUUAUUUGAAGCCUAACAAAACAGGCUAUUUUUUUUGCUGGAUUAACUAGACAAGAACAAAAAGGAACUGGAAAGUAAGGGUUGUGUCCUGCUCUGGCCUAUCAUAAUAUAUGUUAGCCCUUUAAAAGAUGAAUUAUUAGAAAACUCAAGAAACUGGAUAGCUGUAAAAUCCUGCAGUGCUAAAUUUAGAUGCACAAUGCAUCUGCUUCUAGAUGAGUGUUUACAGCAUUGCAGCUAUAAGCUAUUUAGCUAUGAGCCUGUAUCCACAUAAGUCUCAUUCUGUAGGAUUUACAUCUAGGGUUACAGUUAGCAAUUUAAGAUUUAGCAAAGUUAUUCCUAAUUUACCAGCUGGCAGCUGCACAGGUUACAGGGAAGUUUGUUUCAAUUUCAAGUCACAAGACCAGCAGACCUAUUGGAAAAUUUAGUACAGUAAGCCCGCAAGUUACACACAUAUAACUUGUGCAUAUUCAGCUUUACACACUUGGUCCCCCCUCCUUUGGGGGGCGAGUAGGCAUCUGGGAAAAAGACUUUGGCAACCAAUGUGUCUUGACUCUUGACAGUACACAAUUUUGGCUUUAGGCACAAUCCCCAGAAUAUUAACCCUCACAUAAGUUGUGGGCUUACUGUAAUUGACGACAACAAAUGCAAUUACAGUGAAAGUGAAAUAGAUCAGAACACAGUCUCAAUACAAGAUCACUAUUAAGAUCAAAUAUAUGUAAAGAUUCCUAAUAUUUAUAGCAUACAGGGAUGGGGCUACUUGUUACAAUUACUGCUAAUUUAUCCUCCCCAAACAUCUCUAGACACACUGCUGGCUAAAAAUGCAACUAGGUCACACACACACACACACCCUUUAAUCAAACCUGGUUUGGGGCAAAAUGCUUGAAAAUGCAAUCCAUACAAAGGCAUCCAGACCCCUUCUCCACCCACCAGGCAUUGGACAAUUGGGAAACACAUACGUGCAAAUGUGAUAGAAAUGCAGAGUCUGCGUCUUACACUGGUAAUGUGCACACAGCCUCAGUUACAGAUUGCUGGUGUUUGUAACCAUCAUAAUGGAUGCCCAGUUUAGCUGCAUCUGCAGUUUGUAUGCUAACAUAAUCUUGCCACAAUUAAUCUUGAAAACAUCCAGGAUUCUCUGGGUUUUUUGUUUUACUCUCAUACAAAUAAAUAGGGCUGCCUAGGAAAUUUCUUUGGAAACUUCAACUAGUUCAGAGCAGUGUGACCAGCUGAACUUAGACCAUCAUGCUGAUCAGGUAUUGCCAGCGCUGAAAGGUCUUCACUGCCUUGCUAUUGGUUUUGAGACCUAAUUCAAAGGACAUUUUUUAUAUAUAUAUAAUAAUAAUAAAAACUUGUAAAGUCCUAUGUAGCCUCUCUGAGCACUAGCCUACUCUCUCUAGUUCAUGUGACCACAUUUCUGGAUAGGAAUAUUUGAAGGAAUAAUCAGAAUCACAUACCAUUGCAAUACACUCUGGAGGAUCAGGAGAACAUGUGGCAGGGGAAGUAGAGAUUUUUUCCACCAGACAAACAGAAAUGCUUGUGCUGAUGGAAUUAUCUCCUUAGUGCUGCAUUGAAUUCCGCCCCGAAUCUGCUUGGGUAGUAUUCAACUAAGUUUUACACAGAGUAGAGCCAUUGAAAUUAAUGGACCUAACUUAGUCAUGUUCAUUCAUUUCAGUGGGUCUACUCUGACUAUAACUUAGUUGAAUACUAGCGCAUAUAAACGUAGGCAUGUUGGCUCUGCAGUGUGAUCAGGAACUCUACAAAAUGCAGGGUCUCCAGAUAUACAGUGGUACCUUGGGUUACAUACGCUUCAGGUUACAAACGCUUCAGGUUACAGACUCCGCUAACCCAGAAAUAGUACUUCAGGUUAAGAACUUUGCUUCAGGAUGAGAACAGAAAUUGUGCUCCAGCAGCGCGGCGACAGCAGGAGGCCCCAUUAUCUAAAGUGGUGCUUCAGGUUAAGAACAGUUUCAGGUUAAGAACAGACCUCCGGAACGAAUUAAGUACUUAACCCAAGGUACCACUGUAUAGCAAUUUCAUGUCUAUGCCAAACUUUCCAAGUAAUAAAGGCACAAUCCUACUCCCAUCUCCACAAAUUCAUAAUCAUGGUUAUGGUUGCAUGAACAUGGCUCCAAGUAACACCAAUAGGAUAUUAAACAAAGAAGCAGUUCUAUUUUUUAUAGGAAAAGAGGUGCUGGAACUCACCCUUGUUCUCUUAUAAUGGCACUGGAACUGAGUACUGGUGAGUUCCAGCUGAAAAAUAGCCCUGCAAAGAAGUAACUGGCAUAUGAAUAUGACUAAUCUAACAGUCCUGUUAAGUGUGACUUACUCCCAGGUAAGUAUGUAUAUUAUUGCAGUCUUAGUAGUAUUCAUAGAAUCAUAAAACUGUAGAGUUGGAAGUAACCCCAUGUCAUCCAAUCCAACCCCCGGCAAUACAGGAAUCCUGCUCACAGCCAUCCCUGGGUGGACUCGAAUCACCAACCUUCUGGUAAAUAGGCAGAUAAACUGACCCACUGCUGAAGGGACUCCUCACUGUAGAUCUUUCAGUUAAAGGAACAUAGGAAGCUGCCCUCUAGUAAGUCAUAUAUAUCUAGCUCACUAUUGUCAACACUGACUGGCAACAGAUACACAGGGUUUCAGUUUUUCUCAGCCCUAUCUGGAGACACUUGGCAUUUCAGCUAGGACCUUUUGCAUGCAAAUUCGAAUCCCCAUGAUGGGGUGAGCUCCCAUUGUUACGUUCCAGCUCCUGCCCACCUAGCAGUUCGAAAGCAUGUCAAAGUGCAAGUAGAUAAAUAGGUACCGCUUUGGCGGGUAGGUAAACGGCAUUUCCGUGCACUGCUCUUGUUCGCCAGAAGCGGCUUAGUCAUGCUGGCCGCAUGACCCGGAAGCUGUCUGCAGACAAACGCCGGCUCCCUCGGCCAGUAAAGCGAGAUGAGUGCCGCAACCCCAGAGUCAUUUGCGACUGGACCUAAUAGUCAGGGGUCCUUUACCUUUUAGACAUGAAGGAUUGUGCUGUUGGAUUUUGGUCCUUCAGAAGCAGAGUAAUUUUUCAUUUCAUUGCAUUUCUCUAAAUUAAAUCAGGAUAUAGAAACAUUGCACAUUCAUUCUACAGAAGAUAGAAACUGCAGAGACCUGAGUGAAGUGCAACUUUUACAGAGGCUCCAUGACUUUUUAAAACAUAAUGACACCUGGUGAUCAAAAGGAUUUCAGUCUCAUCAGGCAGAGGCUAUUUUUAGUUAACAGCACCGAGAAGUCAAGUUAUGAAAGUCUGUGGUUAUGAAAUAUCAACUUCCUGGGGUUAUGAAAGGUAUAUUAGAGCACGGUUCAACAGCUAGGAACCACCUGUCAUUCACAGUAAACUAAACUAAGGAGUUGGAGAGACUGGGAUAAAAAUACAGCUCUGUGAUUAUCACUGUUCCAUUGAGCUAUGGUUCUUUCGCCAGAAUCCUUUUGAAAUUCUUAAUCCUUAUUUACAGCAAGAAUUGGAAACGUGGAAGUUACUGGACUCCCAGCUCCCAUCAUCCAGGACCACUGGCCAUAACGGCUGGGGCUGAUGGGAGUCCAGGGACAUCUGGAGCAACACUGUUUCCCUCCCCUGGGACAUUUUAAUAUACUUUCAAUAUAACUUUGCAGCAUGUAAUUUCAAGAACUAAGGCUUAUAUUUGCACAGGUAUUCACUGUUGUUCAGUGAAACCAGGAUGCUCUUAAAUAAUAAAACUGACAAAUAUUGGUUAUUUAUUUAUUUAUAUACCACCAUCAAUGUAGAUGGCCGUGUACAUAAUUAAAAUAAGAAAUUCUAACCCAAAGAGUGUACAGUCCAGUUCAGUGCUAAGUGUUUGUAUAGCUGUCCACAGUAUCUUUAUAAGGGAAGAUGUUGGGGAGAAAAAAACCGGAGCAACUGCCUAUAUCCCUCUGAACUGAUUGGCCAUGCCCCCAUGACUUCCUCACAGCCCUUACCAGUCUAGUAGACAUGGUGGCAAGUAGCAGGUUUGGCGUGCACACACACACAAUUAAAACAUAAUGCAAAUGAGAUGCAUAUUUUUUCAAAAAAGAAAAGAAAAAUAAAGAUAGGAUUGUUAACAGUCUCAGCUUUAUUGCCACAUACAGGCUCCCUGUUCUGUCUGCUCUGUUGUGUAAGUCAGGAGGUAAAGCUAAAGGUAAAGGACCCCUGACUGUUAAGUCCAGUCACGAACGACUCUGGGGUUGCGGCGCUCAUCUUGCUUUACUGGCCAAGGGAGCCGACGUUUGUCCACAGACAGUUUUUCCGGGUCAUGUGGCCAGCAUGACUAAGCCACUUAUGGCAAACCAGAGCAGCGCACGGAAACGCCAGUCAGGAGGUAGAAAGCCCAAUUGAAUUCAAUAGCACUUACUUCUGAGCAGCCAUGUUUAGGACUGCACUGUAAAUCCCCCCCCCUUUUUUGUAUGUUGGUACUUUGAAAAUAAAACUGCCAAUAGUAGUUUUAAAGAGUCCCCAAACUGUCUGUGAUUCAUCAUAUCAUAAAAUCAAUAUUUGCAUUAUUAUUCAGAAGCUGCUCCUGCCACUUCUGCACUAUGAAUAAAGUGGAAGCAGUUUUCUACAAACCAGCCUUCAUGUUCCAGUGCAUUAUGCAUAAUUCCGGCUCCACACAGAAUGUCUCCAAAGCAUGCCCUAGCAAGAAAAAUC